This 468-nucleotide ribosomal RNA is filed under the name uncultured bacterium. RNAcentral describes it as "partial 16S ribosomal RNA". It matches the Rfam family "Bacterial small subunit ribosomal RNA", at positions 28 to 507 of the family's 1533-position model. The record is from RNAcentral.
GACGAACGCUGGCGGCGUGCUUAACACAUGCAAGUCGAACGGAAAGGCCCUGCUUUUGUGGGGUGCUCGAGUGGCGAACGGGUGAGUAACACGAGAGUAACCUGCCCUUGACUUUGGGAUAACUUCAGGAAACUGGGGCUAAUACCGGAUAGGAGCUCCUGCUGCAUGGUGGGGGUUGGAAAGUUUCGGCGGUUGGGGAUGGACUCGCGGCUUAUCAGCUUGUUGGUGGGGUAGUGGCUUACCAAGGCUUUGACGGGUAGCCGGCCUGAGAGGGUGACCGGCCACAUUGGGACUGCGGUACGGCCCAGACUCCUACGGGCGGCAGCAGUGGGGAGUAUUGCACAAUGGGCGGAAGCCUGAUGCAGCAACGCCGCGUGCGGGAUGACGGCCUUCGGGUUGUAAACCGCUUUCGCCUGUGACGAAGCGUGAGUGACGGUAAUGAGUAAAGAAGCACCGGCUAACUACGUG